Molecule: ribosomal RNA, 469 nt
Filed under: uncultured bacterium
Lineage: Bacteria
Description: partial 16S ribosomal RNA
Rfam family: Bacterial small subunit ribosomal RNA
Source: RNAcentral
GACGAACGCUGGCGGCGUGCUUAACACAUGCAAGUCGAACGGAAAGGCCCUGCUUGCAGGGUGCUCGAGUGGCGAACGGGUGAGUAACACGUGGGUGAUCUGCCCCUUACUUUGGGAUAAGCCUGGGAAACUGGGUCUAAUACUGGAUAGGACCAUGCUGUAGGUGGUGUGGUGGAAGGAUUAGUUUCGGUAAGGGAUGAGCUCGCGGCCUAUCAGCUUGUUGGUGGGGUAAUGGCCUACCAAGGCGUCGACGGGUAGCCGGCCUGAGAGGGUGGACGGCCACAUUGGGACUGAGAUACGGCCCAGACUCCUACGGGAGGCAGCAGUGGGGAAUAUUGCACAAUGGGCGCAAGCCUGAUGCAGCGACGCCGCGUGGGGGAUGACGGCCUUCGGGUUGUAAACUCCUUUCAGCCAUGACGAAGCCCUUGUGGUGACGGUAGUGGUAGAAGAAGCACCGGCUAACUACGUG